CAGGUAUGCUGAAAAAAGGCAUUCUUCAAAUCAAUUACAGAGAAGAACGCAGCAUCUGCAGGGAUUGCAGAAAUGAGGUUAAUUGAGAAUCCAGUUGAUGACCGUUGGAGUGAAUCUGAAACACAAGGAAGAACAGACAGUUGUGAAGGUGGCCGUGCUGCAGCCUGCGGCAGCGAGGACAAGCAGUGGAUGGCUGGUGCAGUAUCAUGACUUCACAACGUCAUUAAAAUGAUGCACCAUAGCCAAGAUAGCAGUGACCGAGGGGAGGAAGGGGCAUGACUGAACCCUUUGACCCCCACCCCCAGGGCUGCCACCAGAAAUUGUGGGGCCCGUGACUGACAAAAUAGAAACCCCCCCUCCCCCCCUCCGAAAAAAAAGUAAAAUAAAAAUAAAUAUAUAUUCCAAAAAAUAAAAAAUAAUAUUUCUAUUCCAGUGCCAGAUAUGCCCCCAGUACCAGAUACAGAAAUGCCCCCACUGUGCCUGCCAGAUAUGCCCCCAGUGCCAGAUACAGAAAUGCCCCCACUGUGCCUGCCAGAUAUGCACCCAGUGCCAGAUACAGAAAUGCCCCCAGUGCCAGAUACAUAUAUGCCCCCAGUGCCAGAUACAUAUAUGCCCCCAGUGCCAGAUACAUAUAUGCCCCCAGUGCCAGAUAUGCCCACAGUGCCAGAUACAGAAAUGCCCCCAGUGCCAAAUACAUAUAUGCCCCCAGUGCCAGAUACAUAUAUGCCCCCAGUGCCAGAUACAUAUAUGCCCCCAGUGCCAGAUAUGCCCACAGUGCCAGAUACAGAAAUACCCCACAGUGCCAAAUACAGAAAUGCCCCCAGUGCCAGAUAUGCCCCCAGUGCCAGAUACAGAAAUGCCCCCACUGUGCCUGCCAGAUAUGCCCCCCGUGCCAGAUAUGCCCCUAGUGCCAGAUAUGCCCCCAGUGCCAGAUAUGUCCCACUCCCCAGUGCCAGAUAUGCCCCCAGACCCCAGUGCCAGGUACACAUGUCCUCAAUGCUCCGGGCCCCCUUUUCAUAAAACCCACAGUCACAGACAACAGAGACAUACAUACUUACCUGUGUAAAGAAAUACUUACCUACAAAUCUGUCCUCUCUGCUCUCUCUGUCUCUCCCACGCUAUCUGCUGCUGCCAGCCGCCUCCUGUCCCUAGCUCCACGGCUCCUCUUCACCCGACGCGGCGUGACGUCAUGACGUCACGCUGUGUCGCAUUUGAAUAAAAUAAACUUUAUUUAGCCGAACAGCAAGCUGCAGCUUGCUGUGAUCGGCGGCGGGACACGAAGGGGCAAAAGCCGCGCCGCGGUCAGUGUCACCGGCGGUGGUCGCCGCCGGGAAUAGCCGCUGUGUGUGCAGCCCGGGCCCUCCACUCUGUCAGAGUGGCCGGGCCCGGGACAACUGUACACAGGGCACCCCCUUGAUGGCGGCCCUGCCCACCCCCACCCUCCCAGUCGCUGGGCCUGCGUCUCUUCCUAAGUGGGUAUUACUCAAAAAUGCAGCACUAACCCUUUAUGUAAGUUGGCACAUAAAGCCCAAUGUGUGCAAUAAUUUCUUGCUCAGAAAAUAAUUAAA
Long non-coding RNA from Pseudophryne corroboree (corroboree frog), 1568 nucleotides. RefSeq lists it as uncharacterized. The transcript is spliced from 3 exons. The record is from RefSeq and is a predicted model, not a curated record. Lineage: Eukaryota; Metazoa; Chordata; Amphibia; Anura; Myobatrachidae.